GGAGCACAGGUGUGGAGAACGAGUGGAGGACGCGAGAGAGAACGAGGAAGAAGCUGAAAAACAUGAUGAAUAUAACAAGCGACAGCUCGUCUCCCUCCGUCCUCAAGUUGUUCACAUCUAGUGCAGAACUUCUUUAAUUGUGCAAAAGAAGAAAAUGUUUGAGCACUUAGCUGCAGUGACUGCAGCUGCUGCGGCUCUGUUAACGCUGCUCUGGAUCGUUUCUUCUGACCUGAAGAAGUUUGUGAAUAAGAAAGAACAAGUCGGUCAUGAAGACGACCUGCACUUCCUCCUCCUCCUCUUCCUCGCAGUUGAUAUUCUGUCACUGCGACUCUGUAAUAGUUGAUAUUCAAAGGCCGCGUUCCUCAAAUGUUUUAAUUAGCUUCUCUCCCUUGGUGAGACGUAGUUUUCGUGGUCUGGCUUUGGGACUUCAAAAAAAAAAAAAAAAGAGGGGGGAUUUAAAACCUUUUCUUUGAGAUAUCGAACAUUAUAAAAGUCAAUAGCCUCAGAGAAACUGUGUUGGCCUGAAGGUUUCUCUCUCUCUGUCUAACUCCAGCUGCCUGUUCAGUCUUUGUGUUCAUCUCCUCUCUAUACUAUCUGCAUUUCUGUCUCUCUCUCUCUCUGUUCACCUGUCGCUCUGCCUCGCUCUCUCCUUCUCUCCUCAGUGAUAUGACUCACUGAGAGGGUCCGCAGACGUCACCCCUCUCCUCACUCUCCAGGCUAUUAACUGAAAAAGAGAAACUGGUGAGUGUGGGAGAGAGUGGGUUUUUAUUAUUAUUUAUUUAUUUAUUUAUUUAUUUAUUUUUCCCAGGCAGGUUCUGAGCUCCAUUUUUAAGUAGUUGCUGCAGAGCUGAUGCAUCGCCACAGUUCCCUGAUUUCAGAGAUUUCUGAUUUUACCUGCAGAGGUGCGCAGGCCUGAGAUCUGGACCCUGAUCCUUGAAUGUGACGAGUGUUUAACGACCUGAUCGCCUCAAAUCAGAGCUCCUUCGGUUGUCAGCUGGAUCUGUUGUGUAUCUGCUUCCAGGUCCAGUUUGUGUAUUCAUGGUGUGAGUCUGCUCUGCACGGUUUGUGCCUUUUCAUGCCCGCCAGGAGAAAUGUUAACGCUGCCACAUAUUGUGUGUUACAGCAUCUGUUCCAAAGCUGCACCGUGAAACACUGUGCAGGAAUUCAGUGUCAUAAACGUAACUGUUGUCCUGAAGCUGAUAAUAAAAUCUACAUUUCACUC
Molecule: long non-coding RNA, 1222 nt
Organism: Acanthopagrus latus (yellowfin seabream)
Lineage: Eukaryota; Metazoa; Chordata; Actinopteri; Spariformes; Sparidae
Exons: 2
Source: RefSeq, a predicted model, not a curated record